CAGCAGCCGCGGUAAAACGGAGGGUGCGAGCGUUAAUCGGAAUUACUGGGCGUAAAGCGUACGCAGGCGGUUUGUUAAGUCAGAUGUGAAAUCCCCGAGCUUAACUCGGGAACUGCAUUUGAAACUGGCAGGCUAGAGUCUCGUAGAGGGGGGUAGAAUUCCAGGUGUAGCGGUGAAAUGCGUAGAGAUCUGGAGGAAUACCGGUGGCGAAGGCGGCCCCCUGGACGAAGACUGACGCUCAGGUACGAAAGCGUGGGGAGCAAACAGGAUUAGAUACCCCAGUAGUCCCUGUCUCUUAUAC
This 301-nucleotide ribosomal RNA is filed under the name uncultured bacterium. RNAcentral's name for it is "partial 16S ribosomal RNA". It matches the Rfam family "Bacterial small subunit ribosomal RNA", at positions 509 to 807 of the family's 1533-position model. The record is from RNAcentral.